This 510-nucleotide ribosomal RNA is filed under the name uncultured bacterium. Its description in RNAcentral is "partial 16S ribosomal RNA". It matches the Rfam family "Bacterial small subunit ribosomal RNA", at positions 28 to 507 of the family's 1533-position model. The record is from RNAcentral.
GACGAACGCUGGCGGCGUGCUUAACACAUGCAAGUCGAACGAAGAGCGAUGGAAGCUUGCUUCUAUCAAUCUUAGUGGCGAACGGGUGAGUAACGCGUAAUCAACCUGCCCUUCAGAGGGGGACAACGGUUGGAAACGACUGCUAAUACCGCAUACGAUCUAAUCUCGGCAUCGAGGAUAGAUGAAAGGUGGCCUCUACAUGUAAGCUAUCACUGAAGGAGGGGAUUGCGUCUGAUUAGCUAGUUGGAGGGGUAACGGCCCACCAAGGCGAUGAUCAGUAGCCGGUCUGAGAGGAUGAACGGCCACAUUGGGACUGAGACACGGCCCAGACUCCUACGGGAGGCAGCAGUGGGGAAUCUUCCGCAAUGGACGAAAGUCUGACGGAGCAACGCCGCGUGAGUGAUGACGGCCUUCGGGUUGUAAAGCUCUGUUAAUCGGGACGAAAGGCCUUCUUGCGAAUAGUGAGAAGGAUUGACGGUACCGGAAUAGAAAGCCACGGCUAACUACGUG